CUGCCUGGUAGUGGGGGAUAACGUUCGGAAACGGACGCUAAUACCGCAUACGUCCUACGGGAGAAAGCAGGGGACCUUCGGGCCUUGCGCUAUCAGAUGAGCCUAGGUCGGAUUAGCUAGUUGGUGGGGUAAUGGCUCACCAAGGCUACGAUCCGUAACUGGUCUGAGAGGAUGAUCAGUCACACUGGAACUGAGACACGGUCCAGACUCCUACGGGAGGCAGCAGUGGGGAAUAUUGGACAAUGGGCGAAAGCCUGAUCCAGCCAUGCCGCGUGUGUGAAGAAGGUCUUCGGAUUGUAAAGCACUUUAAGUUGGGAGGAAGGGUUGUAGAUUAAUACUCUGCAAUUUUGACGUUACCGACAGAAUAAGCACCGGCUAACUCUGUGCCAGCAGCCGCGGUAAUACAGAGGGUGCAAGCGUUAAUCGGAAUUACUGGGCGUAAAGCGCGCGUAGGUGGUUUUGUUAAAGUUUGGAUGUGAAAAUC
Molecule: ribosomal RNA, 484 nt
Filed under: uncultured bacterium
Lineage: Bacteria
Description: bacterial SSU rRNA
Rfam family: Bacterial small subunit ribosomal RNA
Source: RNAcentral